CAAUAGCGUAUAUUAAAGUUGUUGCAGUUAAAAAGCUCGUAGUUGGAUUUCGGGGCAGCCUGGCUGGUCCGCCGCAAGGCGAGUACUGGUCAGCCGCCCUUCCUCUCGAAAGCCCCGACUGCUCUUCGUUGCAGUGGUCGGGUAGUUCGGGACGUUUACUUUGAAAAAAUUAGAGUGUUCAGGGCAGGCCUACGCCUGAAUACAUUAGCAUGGAAUAAUGGAAGAGGACCUCGGUCCUAUUUUGUUGGUUUCCAGGGCCGAAGUAAUGAUUAAGAGGGACAGUUGGGGGCAUUCGUAUUUAAUUGUCAGAGGUGAAAUUCUCGGAUUUAUGAAAGACGAACAACUGCGAAAGCAUUUGCCAAGGAUGUUUUCAUUAA
This 377-nucleotide ribosomal RNA is filed under the name uncultured eukaryote. Its description in RNAcentral is "partial 18S ribosomal RNA". It matches the Rfam family "Eukaryotic small subunit ribosomal RNA", at positions 592 to 976 of the family's 1831-position model. The record is from RNAcentral.